Molecule: ribosomal RNA, 468 nt
Filed under: uncultured bacterium
Lineage: Bacteria
Description: partial 16S ribosomal RNA
Rfam family: Bacterial small subunit ribosomal RNA
Source: RNAcentral
GACGAACGCUGGCGGCGUGCUUAACACAUGCAAGUCGAACGGAAAGGCCCUGCUUUUGCGUGGUGCUCGAGUGGCGAACGGGUGAGAAACACGUGAGUAACCUGCCCUUGACUUUGGGAUAACUUCAGGAAACUGCGGCUAAUACCGGAUAGGAGCUCCUGCUGCACGGUGGGGGUUGGAAAGCUUCGGCUGUUGGGGAUGGAUUCGCGGCUUACCAGCUUGUUGGGGGAGUAGUGGCUUACCAAGGCUUUGACGGCUAGCCGGCAUGGGAGGGUGAACAGCGACCUGGGUCCUGCGAUAGGGAGCAGACUGGUACGGGAGGCAGCGGUGGGGAGUCUUGCACAAUGAGCGGAAGCGUGAUGCGGAAGCGCCGCGUGCGGAAAGACGGCCUUCGGGUGGUAAACCGCUUUCGCCUGUGACGAAGCGUGAGUGACGGUAAUGAGUAAAGAAGCACCGGCUAACUACGUG